This 77-nucleotide transfer RNA is filed under the name Nitriliruptorales bacterium. RNAcentral's name for it is "tRNA-Thr". It matches the Rfam family "tRNA". From Rfam's summary of the family: Transfer RNA (tRNA) molecules are approximately 80 nucleotides in length. Their secondary structure includes four short double-helical elements and three loops (D, anti-codon, and T loops). The record is from RNAcentral. Lineage: Bacteria; Bacillati; Actinomycetota; Nitriliruptoria; Nitriliruptorales.
GCCGGGAUAGCUCAGCAGGUCAGAGCAGCGCUCUUGUAAAGCGAAGGUCGCGGGUUCGAAUCCCGCUCCCGGCUCCA